This 405-nucleotide ribosomal RNA is filed under the name uncultured bacterium. RNAcentral describes it as "bacterial SSU rRNA". It matches the Rfam family "Bacterial small subunit ribosomal RNA", at positions 362 to 758 of the family's 1533-position model. The record is from RNAcentral.
UAUUGCACAAUGGGCGCAAGCCUGAUGCAGCCAUGCCGCGUGUGUGAAGAAGGCCUUCGGGUUGUAAAGCACUUUCAGUCAGGAGGAAAGGUUAGUAGUUAAUACCUGCUAGCUGUGACGUUACUGACAGAAGAAGCACCGGCUAACUCCGUGCCAGCAGCCGCGGUAAUACGGAGGGUGCGAGCGUUAAUCGGAAUUACUGGGCGUAAAGCGUACGCAGGCGGUUUGUUAAGCGAGAUGUGAAAGCCCCGGGCUCAACCUGGGAACCGCAUUUGGAACUGGCAAACUAGAGUGUGAUAGAGGGGGGUAGAAUUUCAGGUGUAGCGGUGAAAUGCGUAGAGAUCUGAAGGAACACCGAUGGCGAAGGCAGACUACCUGGGUCUAGCACUGACGCUCAUUACGAAA